This is a long non-coding RNA of Gallus gallus (chicken), 5015 nucleotides long. The record is from Ensembl. NCBI's taxonomy places the organism in Eukaryota, Metazoa, Chordata, Aves, Galliformes, Phasianidae.
GCCUUUCUUCCCCACUUUUGUCUUUUGUGGUCUGAAAAAGCUGUCAAAUUUCUUUCCUCAUCUGCAGUUUCUUAGUGGGUUUUGUGUGUGUGUGUGUCUGGGGAGGGGUUUCAUCCAUUCUAUUACCACAUGCAGCGCAGUGAUGCCAUAUUUCUAGUUCUAAUGCAUAUUUUCCCUAACUCAAGCUGUCAUCUAGCGAUUACUUUUUGUCAUGGAGUAAGUUUUAAACAAGUAUCAUGAUGUUUCCUGCCUAGUCGUGAAAGGAUCAGAGCGUGCCUUUGUUUCUGCUCUCUAUUUGUGUACCACAAACCAGGUUGUAUGGGACUUCUCUACCCCAAAGCUUGGGCAGUCAUCAUGACAGAGAACUGCGAGAGCCAGGAGAAUGCAUCUGGACCGUGGCUGCUUGGAGACACAGGAGUGGGGAACUCAAAAUUGAGGGGAAUGUGGUGGAAUUAGGCUCAAGGAUUGGUUCAAGUGCCAAAGGACCCUGCAGAAGAUCAAGUAUUCAGAAGAACAGCCAUUUUCUAGCUGGGGAGCCCUGCUGAUCUGGCUACAAGAGCUUCCAGCACUAUUCCAGUCUUCAUUAACUCAUCACAUACAAUACAAAGAAGUGAAUUGCACUGGAUUAGUCAAAUGUCUGCAUGGAUUUAUAAGGAAUGAGAGAUCCACGCAGAAUGUUCUUGUGGGCUUAAAGAAGAACCUCUGACGAAGCAGAAAGCUAUAAGUUUGAGGGGGAAAAAAGAGAAGAGAGAGGCUGGGUAUAAAAUAGCGACCAUCAACCAUCCCUAAUGUUCAUUAAUGUUCCUGAAUGGAGCUCAGCAGCAAAGCUGGGCUGCUGUUGGUUGAUGAAGAGCCUUUCCUCUGAGGGUGUGGAUUCUGAAAAACACCACUAGAAAAAUGCAGGCAUACUUGUAUAUAUGUAUAUAUCCAUGCCAUGCCAACUUGGAUGUGUUUGCCAGUUAUUUGAUUCGGUGUGGGGAGGACUUCAUCCCGUGUCAGUACUCACGGUCUUAAAUGGGAGCACUUUACCCUACUUAUUUGUUUUUUAACUUCUGAAGGAAUGACUGAAAACUCAUCCAAAGUCAUGAACGCCUGUGGGCAUUCCCUGGAAGAAUUCCCUUCAUGCCUGGCACAGUGUGUCCCAAAGUGAUGCUAACCCCUAGAUGUUGAAGAGGAGGAUGACAUCACACAGCUCUGGUUGAAGCCAUCUGCUCAUGGUGCUGAACUGGAAGGUGAGCUCCUGCAGAAACGCGGCCCUCGUUGAGAGUAUUGAGCUUUGCUGAAAGUCCUGACUCUUUUCCACAUUCACAAGGACAGCCUUACAAUGCAAAGCCUCUCCUUGGCAUAAGGACAGAUGCAAGCUUAUAACAGUAUGCACUUAGUUAUAGAGGUAAUUUUAUUUGCCUUUGUUAGAAUCUUUAAUAUAAAACUCAGUAAAAUGACCUCUCUAAUAAAAAUGGCUCAGAGAAAUAACAAUAAACAGGUUUUAUGAUACGGAAGAUGCAUUUAAAAAAUCCUGCUAAGGAAAAUGAUCUUAGGAGUCUCAAGAAAAUAUUAAUAUGAAAGGAGAGACUUUUUCCCUAUCCGCUACAAUCAAAGAUGGGUGGUCUGCAUGCCACGUGAGCUUCCUUGCUCCAGCUCUUGUGGGCAGGAGGAGGGGAAGCUGUACUCUAUCUCAGUAAUGAACUCUGACUGUCCAGGAAAGCAUUUAUUUUUGCAAAAUUAAAAAGGGGGGGAGUCAAUGGAUCUGUUUAUAGCUAUAUAAAAAGGCAGAAAAGUUAAUGCUAACAUAUGUUGCUUCAUGUUCCCAGAGCAAAAACAUUUGCAGGAUAAUAUCCCGGAGCGCAGGUGGUAAGCGAUCAAUACUCUUAUUUGUUUUUAAGGGAUGGCAGAACUGCUCACCUAUAGGAGUUGCAGUGAAUGCGUAGAACCCCUACGGACACAUGGCAUUAAUGUACGGGUGUUGUAGGCGUUUUAUUACAUAGACUUCAGGAGUUGGCACUCAGCUACCAGGAUCUCUAUAGCUUUUGUUCAGUGGGAGGUGUCCAUACCAAGCACAGUUCUAGAUCCUAAUGGGGUGGAAGGACAUGUGCCACAGGGGAAUCCAUGGAAAAUUGAAUCAUGGUCGUGUCUUCUGCUGGCUGAGCAGGUUUCUUCUGUUAUCUAGCAUGAAUCACAUCCAAUUCCAGUGUCACAUCUCUAGAAAAUGAUGAAAAUGCUUUCUUUCUCCUGCUUAUUGAUACAGGAUGUUUAGGUCAGGAAUAGACUCCUGGCCUGAGCUUUUAGACUGCAUGGCCCCAGAGCUGCAAACUCAUGUAGCUAACCAUGCACUACCACUAUGAUGAUAUCCAGAGAUGUCAUCUCUCUUUACGGAUCUACACAGACUGUAGAUUUUUCUUCAGGGAUACAUGCCCCUAGAGAUAAAUCUUCCUCUCUUUAAUCCAAAACAUCCAACUGGCAAUUACUUGCAUCUCACAAAGAUUUCACUGGAAGUGACCUUUGGUGGUUUUGGGACAAAACGUGAACCUUUCAUCUUUCCCGUGGCUGUAAGUGAUCAGAUAGAGGCAAAACCCUAUUUCCUGCCUUCCCAUACCUGCUGAGAGGGAGCCGGGGGGCUGCUGGUGUGAGAUCACCAUCUUUCAGAGGACAGCAAAAUGCUUUAUGAAGACUGUGAUCUAAAUACAGAUGAGAUAGCUGGCAAGGCUCCAGCUAUUGCUUCAGGACCUUGUAUAUCUUCUCUGCCUUCAGGACCCAGGUGUUGCCAGUUACCGCCAGUAUUCCUGACGUCAGAUAUGGUUUCUUCCAUUCAUGAGGCCAACGGAACAGUUGACCACAAAGAGUCUAACCCUAGGUGUUUUGUUUGAGAGACAUGUAGUACUUUUUUUCCAUAGAGAGGGAAGGUACUUUGUGCUCACUGUACUGGGCCUUCAGUUCGCUUUCUCAUUCAGACCAGGGCCAGGUAAGCCAAGAUAAACUGGGAACUCUGGAAGUGUAGGCCCUCUUCUUCCCAUUGUCCCCAGACUAGAAGAUGGUCUGGUGGUUCAAGCUGGGUUAUGCUGGGCCCCUGCCUGCUUUUUCUUGGACUUGUGCAUAUUAAUGUUUCCAUCGAGCACUUUGAUCAUUGGCAAACUGUUCUCUGCCAGCAUUGUUCCAUCAGAGAGUUUGAAAGCUCAUCUUGAGAGAAGAUUAACUAAUAAUCAGUGAUGCUUUUGUUACAUGCAUUCCCACAAGACCCACUGCUGGUGACUUGACUGAAAACAUGAAUGAAUUGAGCUUUACUCCACGUCUGCGAGUUAGAGAAAUAUGUCAUUUUAACUUUUUCAGUAACAUAAGCAGUUUUUCAGAACAUUAAACUCACUGGACACAACACAACUAGAGAGUUUUGCUGUUUUCCUCCAGCUGCUAACAGAGCUAAAUGUUUUCCCAGUGUAAAUAGCAGGGCCAUGGAUGGGGUCAGCUCCCCUCCAGCCCCACUCUGUGUCAUGGCCGUGCAAACGCCACCUGAGCAAUUCUCCUUGGACUGCAUUGUAGUAAAGAACAUCGGGAAAAUGAUUCCAAAAUUGAAGGCUAUCCUGAUGUCUUUACUAGCAAUAUCUGUUUUUAAAUUGAGUGAGCUCUGGCUUGUGUCUCUAUCUGUUCCAGCUGCAGAAUUAUGGCUGGAGGACAGAGGCACUCUCCUGGGUGUGAAAUAUUGCAAGGAGGGAGUGCAUUCCGAACACAGGGGUGGCCUGGCAGAGGAGGGUACCAUGGAGAAGUGGUUAGACCCAGAAAGAAGCUGAACGUUAGAUCUGCAAACACGUUUCAAGUUCUCUGGUUUUGAGAAAACUUCCUAGGGUUUUAAUUCAUCGUUUCUCUUGUUUUUGCAGCAAGAACAACUGUGGUUACCUCACUGCUCUGGCUCUGUGCUGACAGAGGGCACUGGGGAGAGAUCUAUCACUGCUGAUGUUGAGGCUUUGCCGAUAACCUCUGCCCGGGGCUGGGUGAAGCUACAAACGCUGCCCAGUCUUCGGAGGUACAGGACCAGUCUGUCAGGCUGUUGGCACACAACAACAAUUGUUUUAUUGUCAGACAAUCAUGGUCAUCUGCAAGGAAUCAGUUUUCAAAGAAGCAUUUGACGGACUGACACCCACUGGAGCCGGGGACAAGAUGAAAUGCUCCGAUUCAAAGCAGAUUAGGACUUGCUGUUCUGGAAAUCAAGUGAGUUUUGAAGAGGCUGAUGAAGCUCAAUUUCAAAACUAUCAAUCUGGUUUUUAAAAUGUGUUGGGAUCCAGACUGGCUAUAGCAAAAUAGAGUUUUACACCAUACAGUGGUCAUCCCUAUUUGACAACGGUGGAAGACUGUGACUGUACAAUAGCUAUUGAUAAUCCUUCUAUAAAGGACUAAUGCCUACUGAGUGACACGGGGCAUUGCUCUCAACACGGGAUAUAUGCUUCCAAGGUACCUGCUCUGCGAGGACCACAGCCAGCUGAGAACUGAAAGCUAUGGGAGAGCGUGGCAUGCUUUGUAGAGAGGGCAACAGUAAGGAGAAAUGCUAAACAUAUUAGACAAAUCAUCUCUUCUUUCAUUGAACAACUCCAGCCAUGACCUCUGAUCCUCUUGGUAAAAGCUGAAUUUAAUUUCUGCUGUCCCCCACCCAAUAUUUCUUGUGCAUUUGCUAUAUAGCUUCCUGCAAUCCCAUUUAUUGCUCUCCAGAGCUCACAGAAUGUUUGCUUCCUGCAAACUUCGAUUUAUAUUUUUGCCAUUAACUGUAGAUACUCUUUUGUUUGCACACUUAGAGAACUUUCAGUAUUAAGUUUCAAUGUGUUAACAUGGAAUAAACUGGAAAGAAACUAUUUCUUGGUUGGAAUUGAUCAGGUCCUCAGCUGAAUGGUCACAUUUCAGGUUGUUGGAAUUACACAGAGGCAGCUCUUGCGUUUUCCAUUGGUUGAGCUGUCUUUACUGCAUAUCCAGGUUCAGAAGCAGCAAAGCCUUGGGUUUGGAUUUCCUUUUUCAUUUGUUCCCUUGAGGAAUGCUGG